GCCAGCUUAGCUCAAUUGGCAGAGCAACCGCCUUGUAAGCGGUAGGUUAUCGGUUCGAUUCCGAUAGCUGGCUCCA
RNAcentral lists this transfer RNA (76 nucleotides) under Candidatus Altimarinota bacterium. Its description in RNAcentral is "tRNA-Thr". It matches the Rfam family "tRNA". From Rfam's summary of the family: Transfer RNA (tRNA) molecules are approximately 80 nucleotides in length. Their secondary structure includes four short double-helical elements and three loops (D, anti-codon, and T loops). RNAcentral also lists the same sequence under 2 other names. Lineage: Bacteria; Candidatus Altimarinota. The record is from RNAcentral.